UGUCUACCUAUAGAGACUUACUUUGCUCG
Molecule: non-coding RNA, 29 nt
Filed under: Mus musculus (house mouse)
Lineage: Eukaryota; Metazoa; Chordata; Mammalia; Rodentia; Muridae
Source: RNAcentral